This 480-nucleotide ribosomal RNA is filed under the name uncultured bacterium. RNAcentral's name for it is "partial 16S ribosomal RNA". It matches the Rfam family "Bacterial small subunit ribosomal RNA", at positions 28 to 507 of the family's 1533-position model. The record is from RNAcentral.
GACGAACGCUGGCGGCGUGCUUAACACAUGCAAGUCGAACGAUGAAGCAAAGAAUUGAAGCUUCGGCAGAAAUUCAUUUCGGAUUAGUGGCAGACGGGUGAGUAACGCGUGAGCAACCUACCUCUUACAAAGGGAUAGCCUCGGGAAACCGGGAUUAAUACCAUAUAACAUUGCGACGAAGCAUUUCGAUGCAAUCAAAGCUACGGCGGUAAGAGAUGGGCUCGCGUCCCAUUAACCAGAUGGUGAGGUAACGGCUCACCAUAGCAACGAUGGGUAACCGGGCUGAGAGGGUGAACGGUCACACUGGAAAUGAGACACGGUCCAGACUCCUACGGGAGGCAGCAGUGGGGAAUAUUGCACAAUGGAGGGAACUCUGAUGCAGCGACGCCGCGUGAGUGAUGAAGGAAUUCGUUUCGUAAAACUCUGUUCUAUGGGAAGAAAAGGACUGUACCAUAGGAGAAAGCUCCGGCUAAAUACGUG